Molecule: long non-coding RNA, 1857 nt
Organism: Heterocephalus glaber (naked mole-rat)
Lineage: Eukaryota; Metazoa; Chordata; Mammalia; Rodentia; Bathyergidae
Source: Ensembl
ACCCAUUCAACACAUUUCAAGGCACUGGUAAUAGACUUUGUAGCUGUCUAUCCAGUACAACAAUGAAGAUUUUCAUUUAUGGACAGAAAAUGGAAAUCUAAGUGGUUGGUAUCCUGGAAGAAAGACAUGUUCUCCUCCUGCUGCUGCUCUCUUCAGGAUGAACUCUACAUCAAUCUCAGAUCUAGCACUCUGGGAUGCUCUGCAUAAGUGUGGGCAGUCAUUCUCAGAAGGACUCUGUAUUCUGCAGCCUGAAACUCUCUUAGGCAGCUAAUCUCACAGUCUGGUCUCCAGAAAGCUGGAAAAGCUUCUCUCCUCCUCCUGGUAGGAGGGGAGAACUCCCUGCAGCCAGAUCUAGAAGCUUCUUCCUUGGGCCUACACCCAGCACACCAGGUGUGGAGAGUACCCAGGGCUGCUUGUCUGCUGACUCAUCCAUCACCUGUCAGUGUCUGACCUUUCUCCAAGCAUCAGCUUCCUCAUUUCCUUGGUCAUUAUGUCAUCUCACCUCUGCACAGUAGCUUGCUGUUACAGCUUGUGUCUAGACAUCCCCCCCAAAGCUUCAUGUGGUCAUAGGUGGGGUUUUUCAGAGAUGGCUGGAUCUAGAAUGUGUGAUGCUGGGAUUGCUUCAUGGUGCAAUGCUUGGAUCAAGGGCACUAGGAUUAAAGGUGUGAUUGCUGCCUGCUCUAGUAACCUGGAUAAGAUAUAAGGGAUAAAAAGAGCUUUGGUUGUCCCUUGUUGCUCUGCUAUCUUCUACCCACCCAUGAAGUCUUUCUCCUCUGAGAUACCUGUCUGCUGUGCCACCCUGCCUUGGAGCCAGUCAACUAUGACCUGAAACCACUAUAAACUAUGACUUAAAAAAAAAAAGUAAAACCUUUCCCCCUUUAAUUUUGAGUGUCAGAUAUUUUGUCUCAGCAAUGAAAGAAAAAUAACUAAGACAGAAUUUGGUACCAGAGAAGUGACGUUGUUGCUGUAACUGUACCUGACCACGUGGUAUAGGAGACUUUGGAGCUGGCUUGUGGGAAGGGGAACAGUUAGGAAAUGUAUGAAGAUGUCAGCUGAAAAAAUAGAGCUGGAACACCUUAGGCUGUGCUUGAUGGGAGAUUUUGAUCAGAGCUCAGAAGACCAGAAUGUUGAUAGAGAUUCUCCUGAUAAAGACCAGGCUCAGGAGGUUUCUGCUGGGAAGAACUGCAUUGGCUGUUGGACUCCAGAUGAUGAGUGUUAUACCUUAGCAGAAAGUUGCCUGCAUUUUGCUCAUGUCCAGAGACUUUGCCAGAGACUGAGAAUAAGAGUAGUGGACUAAUUAAUAUGACAGAAGAAAUUUCAAGGCAGGCUAAUGUUGAGGCAAUGGCAUGAUUACUGUAGGGGGCUUUUAGCCAGAUUUAUGUUGAGAAUCAAGAGCAAAUAGCCCAGAAGAAUAAUUUAAAAUGUUUUGAGUUUGUCCAGAAAGGAAGCUCCACUAAAGUUGUGGACUGCAAUGAUAGAGCAGAGGAGAUUGUGAUUCCUAUGAAGGAACAGAAUUUAAAAAAUGGCCUGAAGGCAUCACAAGAAGCAGCAGGACUCCACCCUUUGCAGCCCCAAAAUUGCAAAACUGAAAUUCUUUCCUCUGAGAAGAGAGCCCCCGAGCACCAUGUUCCACAUGAUGGCAGCCUAGGGAAGUUGUUCCUCAGGAUUUGGUUCAUAGGCACUGGACUCCUACAGCCAAGAGAGAAGGAAGUCUGGCUACUGUUCCAGCUGGCAGCAGACCUUUGUAUCAUCCGUGUGGUGCUGGUUUUAGGUGCAUGCAAAAUGCAAGAGUUGUGAAGUCAGGAAGGCUUCCAUCCAGACUUCAGAAAAAGGCCUAGGAGGCCAGGCAGUGUGAGG